RNAcentral lists this long non-coding RNA (294 nucleotides) under Callithrix jacchus (white-tufted-ear marmoset). RNAcentral's name for it is "lncRNA (ENSCJAG00000076364.1)". The record is from RNAcentral. Lineage: Eukaryota; Metazoa; Chordata; Mammalia; Primates; Cebidae.
AUGAAACCAAUACCCAACAUGCUGAUUUCAGGGAGUUCGAAGCUCCAAGAAGAGGAAGAGAGCUGGGGAACAACUGGUCGGUGGAGCAGUCAGAACACACACAUUUAUCAAGUUUCCCACCUUAUAUGGACACAGAUCCACAUUACAAGAAUACUUGAAUAUCUUGAGGCUAGCAUCCAUGUCAUGAGGACCCUUAAGCAUCCGGUGGAGAGUGGUUCAAGUGGCCAAGAGCCAAGGCCUGCCAGCAACAACAUAGUGAGCUUGGAAGCUGCCACUCCUCUAUUUGAGCCUUAG